AAUGAAUGCUCUCUCCCAUAACUGAUUGAUUGGUUGACUUAUUCAUUUAUUCAUUCAUUCAACAAAUACUCCUGGAGUCCUCACUGCCUGCAGGCAUCAGUCUUGGUGAUGGGAGAGAGCAGCGAAUGAGACAGGCGAAUGAGACGGGCUAGGACCCAGCCCUGAGACAGGAUCUCGGGGAACUGGCAACAUGAGUGCCCCUGUGCUCCUUUGCCAGCAGCUUCCAUCCUACUGGCCGUCUUCCGGCCUCUUUCAAGGAUUAUUGCUGUUGGACAUUUAUUUUAAUUGAUUUUGGGCUUCCAAGACAUAACCCCUACCCUCCCACGUGGGUCUUGAGAACACCUCCUCUCUGCCCUCUGCUGGUGGGGACUUGUAAGGGCUUUGCAGUAAACUGCUCAAAAUUCACUAGUCAUAAAUAGCAAGGCUUCCGGCCGCCUUCCAUCGCCCCUGAGAUGGACUGGAGUGCCUUAAUAUUUAGAGAGGAAUGAAUUUGUAAUUAGCACCUUAACGUUAUAUCAGAGCCAUUUCCAUUCCGGAGGUUUUCUAUUUAAAUGCAAAUUGAAUCUUCCCGAAGGAAAGCUAAUAAGUGAUGAAAACAGAUAUCGAGAGAUGAGGCAGCGGCAGGAAGAGGGAGGCAGCGCUGGUGUGGAGCUGUCACUGUUGUCCUGUUGCUGACUUGCUGCCUGUGGCCCACACUCCCCCACCCGAAGGCCGGGCUCUGCGGCUGAGGGAGCUUGAGUAUCCACUCCCCUGUCUGCUCCUGGGGCUGCCCAAGUCAGCAGCCCUGUGGUUGGUCCUCACCGGCUGCUGGUGGUCAUCUUAGCAUCACACGGCCUGGCAGGAUCUGGGCUGUGGCGUUGACAGACCUGAAUCCAGGGUGCUCUUCUGACUCGCUGGCAGAGCUCUCUGGGCAAGCCCCCCAGGCUCUCUGUGCCUCCGUGCCUUCACGCCGCAAGAAGCCCUUAGUGCUCGUUCCUCUCAGGACUGCGGUAAAGACUGGUGAUAAACAGAGAAAGUGUGCCUGGCUUCCAGUAGGUGCCCAACAACAUUAGUUUCCUUCCCUUGUCACAAGAUAUUGCUGUGCCAACUUAACAUGUCAAGAAUGAUCUAUGGGGCAUUCUAGAAAGACAACUACACACAGAAGGUGAGCCUGGCCUCGGGAGCUCCCAGUGUGUCGUCCCUCCAGCCAGCAGAGCACCACAGAGGAUGUUCUGGUGGUGCCCGCCCACAGGAGGGGAGCCGCCUCUGUGAGGAGGGGUGGAGCUGCCACAGUCCCUACCAGCUAACCACUCCUCUUUCCCUCCCCCAAG
Molecule: long non-coding RNA, 1310 nt
Filed under: Equus asinus (donkey)
Lineage: Eukaryota; Metazoa; Chordata; Mammalia; Perissodactyla; Equidae
Description: lncRNA (ENSEASG00005036328.1)
Source: RNAcentral